RNAcentral lists this ribosomal RNA (132 nucleotides) under Botryosphaeria sp. BJ10200-X. RNAcentral describes it as "5.8S ribosomal RNA". Lineage: Eukaryota; Fungi; Ascomycota; Dothideomycetes; Botryosphaeriales; Botryosphaeriaceae. The record is from RNAcentral.
AUGCCUGUUCGAGCGUCAUUACACACCUCAAGCUCUGCUUGGUAUUGGGCCUCCGUCCGCUGCGGGCGGGCCUCGAAAUCCUCGGCGGUGGUGCCCGGCUUUGAGCGUAGUAGAAUCUCUUUCUCGCUUUGA